CCUACGGGGGGCAGCAGUGAGGAAUAUUGGUCAAUGGGCUUACGCCUGAACCAGCCAAGUCGCGUGAGGGAAGACUGCCCUAUGGGUUGUAAACCUCUUUUGUCAGGGAGCAACGCCGGCUACGUGUAGCCGGACUGUGAGUACCUGAAGAAAAAGCAUCGGCUAACUCCGUGCCAGCAGCCGCGGUAAUACGGAGGAUGCGAGCGUUAUCCGGUUUUAUUGGGUUUAAAGGGUGCGUAGGCGGAAUGCCAAGUCAGCGGUAAAAGCGCGGGGCUCAACCUCGCUCCGCCGUUGAAACUGGCGUUCUUGAGUGGGCGAGAAGUAUGCGGAAUGCGUGGUGUAGCGGUGAAAUGCAUAGAUAUCACGCAGAACUCCGAUUGCGAAGGCAGCAUACCGGCGCCCAACUGACGCUGAAGCACGAAAGCGUGGGUAUCGAACAGGAUUAGAUACCCGGGUAGUC
Molecule: ribosomal RNA, 460 nt
Filed under: uncultured bacterium
Lineage: Bacteria
Description: partial 16S ribosomal RNA
Rfam family: Bacterial small subunit ribosomal RNA
Source: RNAcentral